GAGUUUGAUCGUGGCUCAGGAUGAACGCUGGCGGCGUGCUUAACACAUGCAAGUCGAACGGGGAACCCUUGAAGGAGUUUUCGGACAACUGAUAGGAAUUCCUAGUGGCGGACGGGUGAGUAACGCGUGAGGAACCUGCCUUGGAGUGGGGAAUAACACAGUGAAAACUGUGCUAAUACCGCAUAAUGCAGUUGGGUCGCAUGGCUCUGACUGCCAAAGAUUUAUCGCUCUGAGAUGGCCUCGCGUCUGAUUAGCUAGUAGGCGGGGUAAUGGCCCACCUAGGCGACGAUCAGUAGCCGGACUGAGAGGUUGACCGGCCACAUUGGGACUGAGACACGGCCCAGACUCCUACGGGAGGCAGCAGUGGGGAAUAUUGGGCAAUGGGCGCAAGCCUGACCCAGCAACGCCGCGUGAAGGAAGAAGGCUUUCGGGUUGUUAAACUUCUUUUCUCAGGGACGAAACAAUGACGGUACCUGAGGAAUAAGCCACGGCUAACUACGU
RNAcentral lists this ribosomal RNA (501 nucleotides) under uncultured bacterium. RNAcentral describes it as "bacterial SSU rRNA". It matches the Rfam family "Bacterial small subunit ribosomal RNA", at positions 9 to 506 of the family's 1533-position model. The record is from RNAcentral.